RNAcentral lists this ribosomal RNA (327 nucleotides) under uncultured eukaryote. RNAcentral's name for it is "partial 18S ribosomal RNA". It matches the Rfam family "Eukaryotic small subunit ribosomal RNA", at positions 1470 to 1796 of the family's 1831-position model. The record is from RNAcentral.
CCCUUAGAUGUUCUGGGCCGCACACGCGCUACACUGAAGGAGGCAGCGUGUACUCCUGGAUCGAAAGAUUUGGGUAACCCGCGAAUCUCCUUCGUGCUAGGGAUUGAGGUUUGCAAUUAUCCUUCAUGAACGAGGAAUUCCCAGUAAGUGCAAGUCAUAAGCUUGCGCUGACUACGUCCCUGCCCUUUGUACACACCGCCCGUCGCUACUACCGAUUGAAUGAUUUAGUGAGGACUUCGGACUGGGACCGAUGCGGCUUUCGGGCUGCGUCGGUAUUCUGGAAAGAUGUCCAGACUGUAUCAUUUAGAGGAAGUAAAAGUCGUANCA